CCUAAAAUAAAUACUGAAAAUCCGUGUCCAAUAUUUAACCGUCCGUCUUAUUUAAAAAAUUUAUAAAAUUUUUUUAAAAAAUUAGUUACACAUAAAGUACUAUUCAUGUUUUACCAUCUAAUAACAAUAAAAAUAGUAAUCAUACAAAAUUUUCAAAUAAGACGAACGGUCAAACGUUGAAGAUGAACAGUGCAAAACUGCACUUAUU
MicroRNA precursor from Oryza sativa Japonica Group (Japanese rice), 208 nucleotides. It matches the Rfam family "MIR812 microRNA precursor family". NCBI's taxonomy places the organism in Eukaryota, Viridiplantae, Streptophyta, Magnoliopsida, Poales, Poaceae. The record is from Rfam.